CCUACGGGUGGCUGCAGUGGGGGAUAUUGCACAAUGGGGGGAACCCUGAUACAGCGACGCCGCGUGGGUGAAGAAGCGCCUCGGCGCGUAAAGCCCUGUCAGCAGGGAAGAAAAUGACGGUACCUGAAGAAGAAGCCCCGGCUAACUACGUGCCAGCAGCCGCGGUAAUACGUAGGGGGCAAGCGUUAUCCGGAUUUACUGGGUGUAAAGGGAGCGCAGGCGGCACGGCAAGCCUGAUGUGAAAGCCCGCGGCCCAACCGCGGGACUGCAUUGGGAACUACCGGGCUGGAGUGCCGGAGAGGUAGGCGGAAUUCCUAGUGUAGCGGUGAAAUGCGUAGAUAUUAGGAGGAACACCAGUGGCGAAGGCGGCCUACUGGACGGUGACUGACGCUGAGGCUCGAAAGCGUGGGGAGCAAACAGGAUUAGAUACCCGAGUAGUC
This 440-nucleotide ribosomal RNA is filed under the name uncultured bacterium. Its description in RNAcentral is "partial 16S ribosomal RNA". It matches the Rfam family "Bacterial small subunit ribosomal RNA", at positions 338 to 795 of the family's 1533-position model. The record is from RNAcentral.